Small nuclear RNA from Nannospalax galili (Upper Galilee mountains blind mole rat), 107 nucleotides. The record is from Ensembl. Lineage: Eukaryota; Metazoa; Chordata; Mammalia; Rodentia; Spalacidae.
GAGCUUGAUUCAGCAGCACAUGCUCCCAAACUGGAAAGAUACAGCUUAGGUUAGCAUGGCCCCUGUGCAAGGAUGGUAUGAAAAUUUGUGAAGCAUUCCAUAUUUUU